This 72-nucleotide transfer RNA is filed under the name Heterocephalus glaber (naked mole-rat). It matches the Rfam family "tRNA". From Rfam's summary of the family: Transfer RNA (tRNA) molecules are approximately 80 nucleotides in length. Their secondary structure includes four short double-helical elements and three loops (D, anti-codon, and T loops). Further hydrogen bonds mediate the characteristic L-shaped molecular structure. tRNAs have two regions of fundamental functional importance: the anti-codon, which is responsible for specific mRNA codon recognition, and the 3' end, to which the tRNAs corresponding amino acid is attached (by aminoacyl-tRNA synthetases). tRNAs cope with the degeneracy of the genetic code in two manners: having more than one tRNA (with a specific anti-codon) for a particular amino acid; and 'wobble' base-pairing, i.e. permitting non-standard base-pairing at the 3rd anti-codon position. Lineage: Eukaryota; Metazoa; Chordata; Mammalia; Rodentia; Bathyergidae. The record is from Rfam by way of RNAcentral.
GGAGAUGCAGCUCAGUGGUAGAACACUUGCCUAGCAUGCAGGAGGCCCUGGGUUCAAUCCCCAGCCCUGCCC